UAGGGAAUCUUCCGCAAUGGGCGAAAGCCUGACGGAGCAACGCCGCGUGAGUGAUGAAGGUCUUCGGAUCGUAAAACUCUGUUAUUAGGGAAGAACAAAUGUGUAAGUAACUAUGCACGUCUUGACGGUACCUAAUCAGAAAGCCACGGCUAACUACGUGCCAGCAGCCGCGGUAAUACGUAGGUGGCAAGCGUUAUCCGGAAUUAUUGGGCGUAAAGCGCACGUAGGCGGUUUUUUAAGUCUGAUGUGAAAGCCCACGGCUCAACCGUGGAGGGUCAUUGGAAACUGGAAAACUUGAGUGCAGAAGAGGAAAGUGGAAUUCCAGGUGUAGCGGUGAAAUGCGCAGAGAUAUGGAGGAACACCAGUGGCGAAGGCGACUUUCUGGUCUGUAACUGACGCUGAUGUGCGAAAGCGUGGGGAUCAAACAGG
This 429-nucleotide ribosomal RNA is filed under the name Actinomycetes bacterium. RNAcentral's name for it is "Actinobacteria bacterium partial 16S ribosomal RNA". It matches the Rfam family "Bacterial small subunit ribosomal RNA", at positions 355 to 776 of the family's 1533-position model. Lineage: Bacteria; Bacillati; Actinomycetota; Actinomycetes. The record is from RNAcentral.